RNAcentral lists this transfer RNA (67 nucleotides) under Heterocephalus glaber (naked mole-rat). It matches the Rfam family "tRNA". From Rfam's summary of the family: Transfer RNA (tRNA) molecules are approximately 80 nucleotides in length. The record is from Rfam by way of RNAcentral. Lineage: Eukaryota; Metazoa; Chordata; Mammalia; Rodentia; Bathyergidae.
GGUUUAGCUCAGUGGUUCCAGUGUCUGCCUCGCAAGCACAAGGUUCCGAGUUCAAUCCUCGGUACCA